Molecule: non-coding RNA, 32 nt
Filed under: Mus musculus (house mouse)
Lineage: Eukaryota; Metazoa; Chordata; Mammalia; Rodentia; Muridae
Source: RNAcentral
UGCACCAGUUGUUCAAGUGCCUGCGACAUUUU